RNAcentral lists this ribosomal RNA (377 nucleotides) under uncultured bacterium. RNAcentral describes it as "bacterial SSU rRNA". It matches the Rfam family "Bacterial small subunit ribosomal RNA", at positions 523 to 898 of the family's 1533-position model. The record is from RNAcentral.
AUACGCAGGUGGCUAGCGUUGUUCGGUGUCACUGGGCUUAAAGCGCUCGUAGGCGGAACCGUAAGUGUCUUGUGAAAUCCCCCGGCUCAACCGGGGAAUGGCUGGGCAUACUGCGGUUCUUGAGGCAAACAGGGGUGCAUGGAACUCUUGGUGGAGCGGUGGAAUGCGUAGAUAUCAAGAGGAACGCCGAUGGUGAAGACAAUGCACUGGGUUUGUCCUGACGCUGAGGAGCGAAAGCGUGGGGAGCAAACAGGAUUAGAUACCCUGGUAGUCCACGCCCUAAACGAUGUUUACUAGGUUGUAGAGGAUCUGACGCCUUUACAGUCGGAGCAAAAGUGUUAAGUAAACCGCCUGGGGAGUACGGUCGCAAGGCUAAA